ACCUUAGAGACCAAUGAAGUUUGUUAUUGGUAUGAGCUUUCGUGUGCAUGCACACAAGAGCUCAUACCAGUAACAAACUUAGUAGUUCUCUAAGGU
Non-coding RNA from Podarcis lilfordi (Lilford's wall lizard), 96 nucleotides. The record is from the annotation of a GenBank genome assembly. Lineage: Eukaryota; Metazoa; Chordata; Lepidosauria; Squamata; Lacertidae.